GAUGAACGCUGGCGGCGUGCCUAAUACAUGCAAGUCGAGCGAACAGACGAGGAGCUUGCUCCUCUGACGUUAGCGGCGGACGGGUGAGUAACACGUGGAUAACCUACCUAUAAGACUGGGAUAACUUCGGGAAACCGGAGCUAAUACCGGAUAAUAUAUUGAACCGCAUGGUUCAAUAGUGAAAGACGGUUUUGCUGUCACUUAUAGAUGGAUCCGCGCCGCAUUAGCUAGUUGGUAAGGUAACGGCUUACCAAGGCAACGAUGCGUAGCCGACCUGAGAGGGUGAUCGGCCACACUGGAACUGAGACAGGCACCAGGGGCCUACGGGAGGCAGCAGUGUGGAAUCUUCCGCAAUGGGCGAAAGCCUUACGGAGCAACGCCGCGUGAGUGAUAGAGGUCUUCGGAUCGUAAAACUCUGUUAUUAGUGAAGAACAAAUUUGUAAGUAACUAUGCACGUCUUGACGGUACCUAGUCAGAAAGCCACGGCUAACUACGUG
This 497-nucleotide ribosomal RNA is filed under the name uncultured bacterium. Its description in RNAcentral is "partial 16S ribosomal RNA". It matches the Rfam family "Bacterial small subunit ribosomal RNA", at positions 28 to 507 of the family's 1533-position model. The record is from RNAcentral.